AUUGAACGCUGGCGGCAUGCUUUACACAUGCAAGUCGAACGGCAGCGCGGGCUUCGGCCUGGCGGCGAGUGGCGAACGGGUGAGUAAUAUAUCGGAACGUACCCAAGAGUGGGGGAUAACGUAGCGAAAGUUACGCUAAUACCGCAUACGAUCUAAGGAUGAAAGCAGGGGAUCGCAAGACCUUGUGCUCCUGGAGCGGCCGAUAUCUGAUUAGCUAGUUGGUGAGGUAAAGGCUCACCAAGGCAACGAUCAGUAGCUGGUCUGAGAGGACGACCAGCCACACUGGGACUGAGACACGGCCCAGACUCCUACGGGAGGCAGCAGUGGGGAAUAUUGGACAAUGGGCGAAAGCCUGAUCCAGCAAUGCCGCGUGAGUGAUGAAGGCCCUAGGGUUGUAAAGCUCUUUUACCAGGGAUGAUAAUGACAGUACCGGGAGAAUAAAGCUCCGGCUAACUCCGUGCCAGCAGCCGCGGUAAU
This 477-nucleotide ribosomal RNA is filed under the name uncultured bacterium. RNAcentral's name for it is "bacterial SSU rRNA". It matches the Rfam family "Bacterial small subunit ribosomal RNA", at positions 30 to 524 of the family's 1533-position model. The record is from RNAcentral.